AGCGAACGCUGGCGGCAGGCUUAACACAUGCAAGUCGAGCGGGCCUUUCGGGGUCAGCGGCGGACGGGUGAGUAACGCGUGGGAACGUGCCCUCUGGUUCGGAAUAACUCAGGGAAACUUGAGCUAAUACCGGAUACGCCCUUUUGGGGAAAGGCUUGCUGCCGGAGGAUCGGCCCGCGUCUGAUUAGCUAGUUGGUGAGGUAACGGCUCACCAAGGCGACGAUCAGUAGCUGGUCUGAGAGGAUGAUCAGCCACACUGGGACUGUGACACGGCCCAGACUGGGGAGGGAGGCAGAAGUGGCGAAUGCUGGAGGAAGGGAGGAAGCGUGAGGGAGGCAGGCCGCGGGAGUGAUGACCGCCGUAGGGAUGGAGAGCGCUGCUGACUGGGACGGUAGUGAGGGUAGCGGGGAAAGAAGCGCCGGCUAACUACGUG
RNAcentral lists this ribosomal RNA (433 nucleotides) under uncultured bacterium. RNAcentral's name for it is "partial 16S ribosomal RNA". It matches the Rfam family "Bacterial small subunit ribosomal RNA", at positions 30 to 507 of the family's 1533-position model. The record is from RNAcentral.